GGAAUAUUGCACAAUGGGGGAAACCCUGAUGCAGCGACGCCGCGUGAGCGAUGAAGUAUCUCGGUAUGUAAAGCUCUAUCAGCAGGGAAGAAAGUGACAGUACCUGACUAAGAAGCCCCGGCUAACUACGUGCCAGCAGCCGCGGUAAUACGUAGGGGGCAAGCGUUAUCCGGAUUCACUGGGCGUAAAGGGAGCGCAGGCGGCACGGCAAGUCUGGUGUGAAAACCCGGGGCUCAACCCCGGGACUGCAUUGGAAACUGCCGGGCUGGAGUGUCGGAGGGGUAAGCGGAAUUCCUAGUGUAGCGGUGAAAUGCGUAGAUAUUAGGAGGAACACCAGUGGCGAAGGCGGCUUACUGGACGAUGACUGACGCUGAGGCUCGAAAGUGUGGGUAUCAAACAGG
RNAcentral lists this ribosomal RNA (401 nucleotides) under uncultured bacterium. RNAcentral describes it as "bacterial SSU rRNA". It matches the Rfam family "Bacterial small subunit ribosomal RNA", at positions 358 to 776 of the family's 1533-position model. The record is from RNAcentral.